This 256-nucleotide ribosomal RNA is filed under the name uncultured archaeon. RNAcentral's name for it is "partial 16S ribosomal RNA". It matches the Rfam family "Bacterial small subunit ribosomal RNA", at positions 521 to 776 of the family's 1533-position model. The record is from RNAcentral.
UAAUACGGAGGAUCCGAGCGUUAUCCGGAUUUAUUGGGUUUAAAGGGUGCGCAGGCGGAAUAUUAAGUCGGCGGUGAAAGUUUGCAGCUUAACUGUAAAAUUGCCGUUGAUACUGGUAUUCUUGAGUGUAUAUGAAGUAGGCGGAAUUUGUAGUGUAGCGGUGAAAUGCAUAGAUAUUACAAGGAACUCCGAUUGCGAAGGCAGCUUACUAAAUUACAACUGACGCUUAGGCACGAAGGCGUGGGUAUCAAACAGG